GAUGAAGAACGCAGUGAAAUGCGAUAAGUAGUGUGAAUUGCAGAAUUCAGUGAAUCAUCGAAUCUUUGAACGCACAUUGCACCUCUCGGUAUUCCGGGAGGUAUGCCUGUUCGAGCGUCAUUUGUACCCUCAAGCUCUGCUUGGUGUUGGGUGUUUGUUCCGCCUCUGUGUGUGAACUCGCCUCAAAACAAUUGGCAGCCGGCGUACUUGUUUCGGAGCGCAGCACAUUUUGCGAUCCAGAUCAACGUACAGCGGCAUCCAAGAAGCCUUAUUUAACGCUCUUGACCUCGGAUCAGGUAGGGAUACCCGCUGAAAUUAAGCAUAUCAAUAAGCGGAGGA
RNAcentral lists this unclassified non-coding RNA (339 nucleotides) under soil metagenome. Its description in RNAcentral is "partial contains 5.8S ribosomal RNA, internal transcribed spacer 2, and large subunit ribosomal RNA". The stretch from base 1 to 120 matches the Rfam family "5.8S ribosomal RNA", at positions 35 to 154 of the family's 154-position model. The record is from RNAcentral.